UCCGGUUGAUCCUGCCGGAAGCUACUGCUAUCGGGGUCCGACUAAGCCAUGCGAGUUGAGAGGGGUAAGCCCUCGGCAUAUUGCUCAGUAACACGCGGAUAACCUGCCCUUGGGUUCGGGAUAACCCCGGGAAACUGGGACUAAUACCGGAUAGAUCAAAGAAACUGGAAUGUUCUCUGGUUAAAAACUCCGGUGCCCAAGGAUGGGUCUGCGGCCUAUCAGGUAGUAGUGGGUGUAACGUACCUACUAGCCUACGACGGGUAAGGGUUGUGAGAGCAAGAGCCCUGAGAUGGAUUCUGAGACAUGAAUCCAGGCCCUACGGGGUGCAGCAGGCGCGAAAACUUUACACUGCGGGAAACCGCGAUAAGGGGACCCCGAGUGCCAGCACCUAGUGCUGGCUGUCCAGCUGUCCAAAUAACAGUUGUUAGCAAGGGCCGGGCAAGACCGGUGCCAGCCGCCGCGGUAACACCGGCGGCCCGAGUGGUAGCCGUUAUUAUUGGGUUUAAAGGGUCCGUAGCCGGCCUAUUAAGUCUCUUGGGAAAUCUGGCGACUCGAUCGUCAGUCGUCCAAGAGAUACUGGUAGGCUUGGGACCGGGAGAGGUGGGAGGUACUCCAGGGGUAGGGGUGAAAUCUCGUAAUCCUUGGGGGACCACCGAUGGCGAAGGCAUCCCACCAGAACGGGUCCGACGGUGAGGGGCGAAAGCUGGGGGCACGAACCGGAUUAGAUACCCGGGUAGUCCCAGCCGUAAACGAUGCUCGCUAGGUGUCAGGUGCGGUGCGACCGCAUCUGGUGCCGCAGUGAAAACUUGAAGUGAGUCACCUGGGAAGUACGGUCGCAAGGCUGAAACUUAAAGGAAU
RNAcentral lists this ribosomal RNA (858 nucleotides) under uncultured archaeon. RNAcentral describes it as "bacterial SSU rRNA". It matches the Rfam family "Archaeal small subunit ribosomal RNA", at positions 1 to 865 of the family's 1478-position model. The record is from RNAcentral.